Molecule: non-coding RNA, 84 nt
Organism: Cercophora sp. LCS_1
Lineage: Eukaryota; Fungi; Ascomycota; Sordariomycetes; Sordariales; Lasiosphaeriaceae
Source: the annotation of a GenBank genome assembly
GGCAGUGUGGUCGAGUGGUCUAAGGCGCUACAUUUGGGAUGUAGUCUUGGAAACAAGGCGCGGGUUCGAAUCCUGCCGCUGUCA